Molecule: unclassified non-coding RNA, 488 nt
Filed under: uncultured Glomus
Lineage: Eukaryota; Fungi; Glomeromycota; Glomeromycetes; Glomerales; Glomeraceae
Also listed under: 1 other name
Description: SSU rRNA
Rfam family: Eukaryotic small subunit ribosomal RNA
Source: RNAcentral
AGCAGCCGCGGUAAUUCCAGCUCCAAUAGCGUAUAUUAAAGUUGUUGCAGUUAAAAAGCUCGUAGUUGAAUUUCGGGAUCAAUGCGUCGGUCGUGCCUUCGGUACGUACUAGCGUCAUUGAUUCCUCCCUUCUGAAGAACCGUGAUGUCAUUAAUUUGGUGUUACGGGGAAUCAGGACUGUUACCUUGAAAAAUUAGAGUGUUUAAAGCAGGCUAACGCUUGAAUACAUUAGCAUGGAAUAAUGAAAUAGGACGUUCGAACCUAUUUUGUUGGUUUCUAGGAUCGACGUAAUGAUUAAUAGGGAUAGUUGGGGGCAUUAGUAUUCAAUUGUCAGAGGUGAAAUUCUUGGAUUUAUUGAAGACUGACUACUGCGAAAGCAUUUGCCAAGGAUGUUUUCAUUAAUCAAGAACGAAAGUUAGGGGAUCGAAGACGAUCAGAUACCGUCGUAGUCUUAACCAUAAACUAUGCCGACUAGGGAUCGGAUGAUG